Long non-coding RNA from Aethalodelphis obliquidens (Pacific white-sided dolphin), 291 nucleotides. RefSeq lists it as uncharacterized. The record is from RefSeq and is a predicted model, not a curated record. Lineage: Eukaryota; Metazoa; Chordata; Mammalia; Artiodactyla; Delphinidae. The transcript is spliced from 3 exons.
AUUUCAUAGGCUUACAGCAUUUCUCAACUUGGCCUUCUCUUUAUCAUUUUCUCUCUUUAUCAUUUUUUUUUUAAAAGCUUGAUUAAUUUUCAGUUUCUUCAAAGAAAAUUUUUUAUUCAAACAACAAUUUUAUUUUGAUGUACAUGUUGUUUCAGUGCUAUGAAGCAAUUGAAGAACAUGAAAAACAAUUUGGAUUUUCAGGGACAUUGUCCGCUUUCCACAUUUUUGUCUCCAAAUUACUUUCCAACAAUUCAGUACGCGGGAUUCUCACUGUCGUGGCCUCUCCCGUUG